GGUCUCAUUUGCAUGGGAGAGCCCCGCCCUCUCUCAGAGGAUGAAGAGGGGAAGGGAGAGAUGAAGGGAGGCUCUUCUCAGCUGAGGGGCCACUGAAGACAGGAUCCGUGAUGACCUCCACCAUGGGCUGGUCCCCUCUCCUCCUCACCCUCACUCACUGGACAGGUUCCUGGGCCCAGUCUGUGCUGACUCAGCCGGCCUCAGUGUCUGGGUCCCUGGGCCUGAGGGUCACCAUCUGCUGCACUGGAAGCAGCUCCAACAUCAGUAGUUAUUAUGUGGGCUGGUACCAACCACUCGCGGGAACAGGCCCCAGAACUGUCAUCUAUGAUAAUAGUAACCGUCCCUCGGGGGUCCCUGAUCAAUUCUCUGGCUCCAAGUCAGGCAGCACAGCCACCCUGACCAUCUCUCGGCUCCAGGCUGAGGACGAGGCUGAUUAUUACGGCUCAUCAUAUGACAGCAGUCUCAAUGCUGGCACAGUGCUCCAGGCCUGUGGGGAAGUGAGACAAAAACCUACUUAUCCAACUGCAAAGUGAGUGAGCGCCCCAGCAACUUCUUGCUUAGGCUCCCCCUGCAUUUCUGCUGAUUCUUCAGUUGAUGCCUUGAGCCCAGGUUCAUCUUGGGGACCUCCUGGGAAUGGCAUUUUCUUCAUCAUCUCUGACCUCAGAUUCUCUCAGAGUAGCCCAUUGUACACAGAGUGUGUCAAAGGAAAGAGAAAGUUUUGUCCUUGGGAUCAGGGACAGGUUGUUUUAGGCAAGUGUACAUUCACUUGCCAUCUUCUGAUUUCUAGUAAAAGAAAUGCUCUUAGGUCGUGAAGCUAUCAUGGUCCUUCAGCCUCAUCCCUGCUCUGCUGAUGCACAUGUCAGCUCUUUUUGCAGCUGGGAACAUUGUUGCUUUAGCUUCAACCAGAAGACGAGUUCUCUCACAGAAGUGCUUAUUUUGUGAUAACUCUUCCCUCCAUGUGGGAAGCUUUCAAAUCACAGACCCUGUAUCCAUGCUCUUUACAGCAGACCAUGCAGCGUGCUUCACCCAGUCCAUCAGGUCACUGGUGAGUGCUGGGGUCAUAGUUCUGGAUGUUACCUUCAGGACACUGAGAACCCUGAGGACCCUGAAAGAGACAUGUAAUCAGCAGGGGGCACUGUGCAUCCCCUGGGCCCUGCAGGGGGACCAUCACACCUGGGGAAAACCCACUUGGCCUCAGAGCUGGGCAGAGGCUGAGCUGCCCUCUGUGCCCCUGGUUAGACCCAGCAGCCUGGUUCCCUCAGAGCCUGGCAGAGGCUCCUGGGCAGGGUCCUGAGGGGUUCCCACAGAUGCUCCCUCCACCCUUCCUAUGUCCACUUUCAGCAGUACCUUCCUUCAGCAUCCUCUGUUCCUUGUUUUUCUGAAUCACUUACCAGGUGGAGUCUGAGAGAGACUGGAAGGGGUGACAAUUUGCAAAAAGAGCACUGUCAUUACCUGGAGACUGUAGGGAGAAAUAGACAAGCUUAACACAGCGCAGCUACAUUCUUGGGAUUUGUCAACAUGGCCUGGACUCCUCUCCUCCUCCGGUUCUUGUCUUUCUGCCCAGGGAGGGACAUCAUCUGUCUUCUGGGGGACCUUCCCUGAUAUUAUUUUCCCCUGGAAACUCCCACCAAAAAUGCCCCACCUCCUGGGAGUUCGUGUAUCUAGUUUCCCUGUCCCAGCCAGGGCUGGCCCAGCUGCCCCCCCACCUCCCUCUGCAUCUCCAGGAAUAACAGCCAGACUCACAUGAACCAUGAGCAGUGGCUUCAUUGUUGGCCGCUGCUACAUAUACUGAUUCCAACAGAAGCCAAGGAGCCCCCGCUCCACCAGUAUCUCCUGAUAUUCUACUCAGACUCAGAUAAGCACCAGGGCUCAACGUCCCCAGCCCUGCUCUGAAUCUGAAGACACCUCCGCGAAGCAGGGCUUCUGCUCAUCUCUGGGCUCAGCGUGAGGACAAGGCUGACUCUUACUGUACAAUCUGGCACAGUGGUCCUGGUCACAGGGACACACACAGAGGAAGACGUGGGGCACCAUCUCAGCCUGCCUAUGGCCUUGGACUUUGUCUCCCAAUUUAAGAUAACUUGAAUACACACUAAUUUUACUGGAAGUAGAUUCUGGAUCACAAUAUCCUUCCUCCUAGUUUUCUAUUUACCCCUUUCUGAAGACACAGAAGAAAUAAAAACUGAGAAGAAAUAGAUACAGAAAUAUUGUUAGUGAUCCAAAUUGAAAAACUAGCCUUGGUGUCCAUUGAAAGAUGAAUGGAUAAAGAAGCUGUGGUCUAUGUAUACAAUGGAAUAUUCCUCAGCCAUUAGCAAUAACAAACACCCAAACUUUUGCUUUGAUGUGGAGGGACUUGGAGGGUAUUAUGCUGAGUGAAGGAAGUCAACUGGAGAAGGACAAACAUCAUAUGGUCUCAUUCAUUUGGGGAAUAUAAAAUAUUAUAAAGGAUUAUAGGG
Molecule: non-coding RNA, 2453 nt
Organism: Canis lupus familiaris (dog)
Lineage: Eukaryota; Metazoa; Chordata; Mammalia; Carnivora; Canidae
Source: the annotation of a RefSeq genome assembly